GAUGAACGCUGGCGGCGUGCCUAAUACAUGCAAGUCGAGCGAACAGACGAGGAGCUUGCUCCUCUGACGUUAGCGGCGGACGGGUGAGUAACACGUGGAUAACCUACCUAUAAGACUGGGAUAACUUCGGGAAACCGGAGCUAAUACCGGAUAAUAUAUUGAACCGCAUGGUUCAAUAGUGAAAGACGGUUUUGCUGUCACUUAUAGAUGGAUCCGCGCCGCAUUAGCUAGUUGGUAAGGUUACGGCUUACCAAGGCAACCAUGCGUAGCCGACCUGCGAGGGUGAUCGGCCACCCUGGAGCUUGGACACGGUCCAGAGUCCUACGGGAGGCAGCAGUAGGGAAUGUUCCGCAAAGGUCGAAAGCCUGGCGGAGCAACGCCGCGUGAGUGAUGAAAGUCUUCGGAUCGUAAUACUCUGUUAUGAGGGAAGAACAAAUGUGUAAGUAACUAUGCACGUCUUGACGGUACCGGGUCAGAAAGCCACGGCUAACUACGUG
RNAcentral lists this ribosomal RNA (497 nucleotides) under uncultured bacterium. RNAcentral describes it as "partial 16S ribosomal RNA". It matches the Rfam family "Bacterial small subunit ribosomal RNA", at positions 28 to 507 of the family's 1533-position model. The record is from RNAcentral.